CAGUAGCCGCGGGAAUACGUAGGUCCCGAGCGUUGUCCGGAUUUAUUGGGCGUAAAGCGAGCGCAGGCGGUUUGAUAAGUCUGAAGUUAAAGGCUGUGGCUCAACCAUAGUUCGCUUUGGAAACUGUCAAACUUGAGUGCAGAAGGGGAGAGUGGAAUUCCAUGUGUAGCGGUGAAAUGCGUAGAUAUAUGGAGGAACACCGGUGGCGAAAGCGGCUCUCUGGUCUGUAACUGACGCUGAGGCUCGAAAGCGUGGGGAGCGAACAGGAUUAGAUACCCCAGUAGUCCCUGUCUCUUAUACU
Molecule: ribosomal RNA, 301 nt
Filed under: uncultured bacterium
Lineage: Bacteria
Description: partial 16S ribosomal RNA
Rfam family: Bacterial small subunit ribosomal RNA
Source: RNAcentral